AUGAGCAAAUCGGUCUCAUCAGGCAGUACAUCGUCAGGCAGUAGACAGUCGAAAUCUGUGUCAGCUGCAAAUGAUCUCUACAGCAAGGCCAAUGCAUUGUCAGGCAGUGCAAAGUCGAAAUCUGUGUCAGCUGCAAAUGAUCUCUCUAGCAAGGCCAAUGCAUCGUCAGGCAGUGCAAAUUUAAAAUCAGUGUCAGCUAUAGAUGAUUUCCCUAGCAAGGCCAAUGCAUCAUCAGGCAGGACACAUUCAAAUGAUCACUCUAGCAAGGCCAAUGCAUCGUCAGGCAGUACACAUUCAAAUUCUGUGCAGACUAAGAAGAUCCAGGAGAAGACUAAGAAGAAGGUGGUACCGCUCCCAGUGAAGAAGAAGCCACAGAAGUAA
Molecule: ribosomal RNA, 381 nt
Filed under: Triticum aestivum (bread wheat)
Lineage: Eukaryota; Viridiplantae; Streptophyta; Magnoliopsida; Poales; Poaceae
Description: partial small subunit ribosomal RNA
Source: RNAcentral